CCUAUAUUCCCAGAAAGAUCUAGAUCCCAAACCCGAGUCUCUGUGUGACUUUACAAAGGAAGUUGGCUCGAGCAGGGUGCACACUUCACUGUGUGGACUAUGCCCCGACAGCUUGGCCAGGCAGGGAGGGGGCACAGAGGACUGGGAGCUGGGCCAUCUCAGAUACCGGAAGCAGGAGAAGCAGAGAUCAGGACUCGUCCAGAAAGGAACAGAAACCAGCAGACCUGAGAAAAGCUAACUGGUCCAAUUUGCCAACCUCCUGUGUCCCCGACAACAGAAGAAGGAAGGAGAUGGCCCAAGAUGGUCUUUGAUGCAGGGACAUUUGUUUCAUUUGUGCAGCCAACCCGCCCCGCUGAAGAGAGUCCGGCACGCUGCAUGACCUGGGGAAAGUUACUUCACUUUUCUGCACCUCAAUUUUCUCACCUGCAAAAUGGGGACAAGAACAGUCAUACUUCGUCGGAUUGUCGCGAAGAUUAAAGAGGUUAAGACGUGCGUCAAGUGGCCAGCCCACAGGCAAGGCUCGGUGUUGCAGAUCUGCCCUGCAGACCGGAACUUGGACAUCGCGGCUGACGGCGGCUGGCCUCGUGUCCCAGCGGAGCAGAGGACAGAACACCGCGCUCACCUUGUGAAUUUCUUUUUUUUUUUUUUUUGCUGACUAAUGCUCUCCUUCUGUGCAAAGCGUCCUCUUCUCUCGCUUUUAAGACCACAAAGCGUAACCAUCCAUGAAUUGUUGCCAGACAUCACCAAGCCAUUCCUGGGUUUUUCCCACAGUCAUCCUCUGCUGCUUUGGAUUUUUCUCAAUGAUGAAACCAUCAGAACCAUUUGUUGUACCUUAUUUAGCAGGACCAGAUAAAAAUAUAAGCCUCAGCACGAUCACAAAAGAGGUCUUUCCCAUCUGGACAUACUCUUACCUGGCACUGCUGUUCCCAGUGUUCAUCGUCACCGACUACGUCCGCUACAAGCCAGUCAUUAUCCUGCAGGGGAUCAGCUUCGUCGUCACCUGGCUGCUGCUUGUGUUUGGUCAAGGACUGAGAGCCAUGCAGGUGCUAGAGUUCUUCUAUGGGAUGGUCUCCGCCUCCGAGGUGGCCUACUAUGCCUACAUUUACAGCGUGGUCAGCCCAGAGCACUACCAGAAAGUGAGCGGCUACUGCAGGAGCAUCACCCUGGUGGCCUACACGGUGGCCUCGGUGCUGGCCCAGCUCCUGGUAUCCCUGGCCAGCCUAUCGUACUUCCACCUCAACGUCAUAUCCUUGGCCUCUGUCUGUGUGGCCCUUCUUUUCUCCCUGUUCCUACCAAUGCCUGAGAAGAGCAUGUUUUUUCAUGUACAACCCGGCAAAGGAGCUCCUCCCAAGCCACCGGGAAAGGAUGCUUUCUCAAAGGAACCACAAAAGGACCGCAAACCAGUCUGCAAAGGAUUAGUCACCUUUUCAGGGAACCUGGGUGACGACGAGCCGCUGAAUGAUCCAAAGCCGGGAAAUGUAACGCUGAGAGUUUUUGUGCAGUGGUUCCAAGAUUUGAAGGGUUGCUACUCCUCAAAGCAUCUUUUUUACUGGUCCCUGUGGUGGGCUUUUUCCACAGCAGGUUUUAACCAGGUUUUGAACUAUGUUCAAAUCCUGUGGGAUUACAAGGCACCAUCCCAGAGCUCUGCAACCUAUAAUGGAGCAGUAGAAGCCCUUGCAACGUUUGGAGGGGCUCUGGCAGCCUUCACAGCGGGCUGUGUGAAAGUCCAUUGGAACCUCCUGGGAGAGCUGGCUCUGGCCAUCUUCUCAGCGGCAGAUGCAGGUUCUCUGCUUCUCAUGCAUUACACAACUAAUAUUUGGGUGUGCUAUGCCGGUUUUUUGAUAUUCAAGUCAAGUUACAUGCUUCUCAUAACGGUAGCAGCAUUUCAGAUUGCUGUUAACCUCAGCGUGGAACGCUAUGCCCUGAUAUUUGGAAUCAACACCUUCGUUGCCUUGGUGAUCCAGACUGUCAUGACUAUAGCUGUGGUUGACAACCAGGGAAUGGGGCUUCCGGUCAGCAUACAGUUUUUAAUUUAUGGGAGUUAUUUCUCUGUUAUUGCUGGAAUUUUCCUAAUGAGAAGCGUUUACAUAAUCUAUUCAGCCAAAUGCAGACAGGGAAGAUGUAAUUCUACUACCGACCAGAAUCCACAUGAUCCAGAGGACUCCAUUUCUGAUACAAACACAGUGACGCAGUUUUAGCCUGGUCUCUCCUAUCAUGGACUCAGAAGACGGACUGUUCCUACAUGGCAUUUUAAUUUUUUGUCCUAGAUUAAGACACCGUAAAAGACAGAAUUAUCAUCAACACUACAUCAAAACCUCAGCUACGGGCCGGUGAGCAGGGUACAACCAGAAACUGGAGUUGACCAAGUUGAAACCAGCCAUCUUUAUGGCCUCGAUGUGAUCAAAGUUCACAAUCAGUUGACUUUCAGUAAGGGAGAUUAUCCCAGAUAAUCUAGAUGGGACCAAUCCAAUCAGUUGAAAGGCCUUAAGAGAAGAACUGAGCCUUCCUUCCCAGAAGAAGGAGAAGUUCCAUCUGUGGACAGGAGCUUCGGGUCAUGCCUGAGAGUUCUAGCCCACGCGUCCUGAUGGCCUGCCCUAUGAGUUUUGAACUUAGCCUCAUCAGCCCUGACAAUCAAGUAAGCCAACUCCUUGAAAUACAUUUCUUACUACAUAUCUCCACUGGUUCGGUUUCUCAGGUUGAAUCCUGAUUGAUACAGAUUUUGAUACCAGGAGCGGUUGUAGAGGACACAUCUACAAGGCCAACUUUUCUGAACUGCUUCUGGGUUUCCUGGAACUGGGUAUCUAAUCUAGUUAGGUUUUAAGCCACUAUGAAUCUGUUUCCAGUCAUAAAGAGAGCACUAAUAGUCAUGGCAUGAUGUAGUUUUAGACAUACAAGUGUCACCAUUGGGCCCUCCUAAUCAAAUACUACAUUAGUUUCCUAACGAUCUUAUAACAAACGGCCACAAAUGGAGUGGCAUUAAACAACAGGAACUUAUUUUCUCAAAGUUAUGAAGGCUAGAAGUCUGAAAUCAAGGUGUUGGCGAGGUCAUACUUGCUCUCUGAAAACUUGGUCUCGGGGAGGGUUCUUCCUUGCCUCUUCCUAGAUUUUAGCAGUUGCUGGCGAUUCUUAGCCUCCCUUGACUUGUAGACACAUCACUCCAGUCUGUUCUUCUGGUGUCACAUGAUGUUCUCCCUUUGUGUCUGUGUCUCUAUGUCCAAAGUCCCCUCUUAGUAUAAGGAGACCAAUCAUGUUGGAUUUAGGGUUGACCCUAAUAAAGUCACAUUAAUAGGUUCCAGAUGAGCAUCAAUUUUGGACGGGACAAUAUUCAGCCCAGUUGAAAUACCUAUAGGAGGUGAGGUUCUGGAUUGCUGUGUAUUUGUCAGUUCAGGAUGUUUUACUUAACCUGAAGAGAAUAAUGGAAUUGGCAGGCUGCUCCUGGAGCAGUACACACACACACACACACACACACACACACAUACACACACACGCAUAUAUAUUCUCACUGGAGAAAAUAAGGGAGAAAUAAGGAUGACCUCAGGGCUUCAAAUUCCCAGCUCAAAGUGCUGCAUUAAUUAUCUGAAAGCUCUAAUAUCAUCCCUGAAACAAACGCAAAUCUCCUGCAGCCACAGAGCUGAGAUUUCUGAUAACCAAACCCAGAGUCUCGUUCUGCAAGUGGCUGAUUUACAACAUAAAUUGAAUUCCUAACCCUGCAGGGUGUCUUCUGAUAAAGUGAGGACACUCGUUGGGAAUAAAUGAAAUCCUGAAAACUGGAAUGGAGACGUAUGGUCAGAUCUCAAUAAAGCUGGGGACACCUGACCCCUAGAUCUGCCAAGUCUUUGCCCUUAGAGGCUGCCCUUCCACCCCUGCUUAACGAGGGGUCCUAUAAUGGCAGCUGUUUCAGCAGGCCCCAAAAGGUAAAAUACAAAAUGUAUGGAGAAGCAUUACACUCCAAAAGAGACACAUGGUUCCCCCAGCUUGUAUAGAAACCUAGAAAUCUAGAUAAUAUGUGUGGAAAUGGACCUUAAGGAUGUAGGAUCAUGGUAGAGGGAACAUAAAGUUGGAUCAAGCGGAAUUUGUUGAUAUGGGUUGCCAGUUUGGUUGGUUAGCUGAAACAUGAAGCCCACCCUAAAGAAGUUGAAAUGCCAGAAGUGCCUUGGUGUGCUAUAGAGGAAGGUAUUCCAAAGCUUAGGCAAAGUAUAAUAUUAGAGUGGAUUUAUCAUGCGGACUUGUUCACCCAACAUGGGAAGGUCCAGAAGACACAUCUUUUUCCAUAACUUUGAGAAUAUAUUUGUGAGAGCAGCCCAGCGUUCUAGAACUCUGUGGCUGCUUUGCUCUAUGGGUCAGAAAUUCCAGUGGGAGCUGCUACCCAUGAACUGGGGACACUCAAAUACAAUGGAGAUGAUGGGACCCCAGGGUGGCAGGAGCCACAUGGAGACAUUGAGUUGCUAAAGACAAGAUGGGUAUGGUUACCAUAAUGGACAAUGGAGCCAAAGCAGUGGUCAGAAUAGUCUACCUCAUGGAUACUUGUGGUGUGGGCGGGUUGGUAUCCCUAGAAAAGAAGUAGAUGAACAAUUUACCAAAUUCUUACUUGAUCUGCAUGAGCGAAAGUGUUCUAAUGAAUUUUAAGCAACUUAAUAUUCAAGAGCAGUCAUAAUGGAAAAUGCUACCAUUGCUUCAUGAUAAUUUGGAGUCCAAUGUUUUUUAGAGUAAAAAGCUGCCUAAAAGCUAAUCCAUCCAGGAGUGUCUGGAAUUUAAGCCCAAGGUAAAUACGCUUGAGGGUAGUAGAAAGAAAUCCUUGGGCAUAGGAGGCAGGAAUUUUCCCAAUGGAAAAGUCUUCAAAACCCUUUUCUCGGAUUAGUUACCAUGUCGAGACAAACAACUUCAGUUUCUACUCUGGGACUCUGUUUUUCUCUGUUGUAUACUGAGUGAGCAGCCAACGUCUAUCUUGCAAUUCACAAAUUCUCCCUUUGAGGGUGUCUUAUUUUGUUGAUUGAGGUUUUAUUUCAACUCACGUAUCUUUUUAUUCCUGAGAUUUUGAUAUCAAUCUAUACUUACUUUGUUUUUACCUGUAUUUUCACUAUAAAUCCUUUUUUUUUUUAAAUAGAAGUC
RNA transcript from Herpailurus yagouaroundi (jaguarundi), 5109 nucleotides. It is a transcript of the gene named thiamine transporter 2-like, with no coding region annotated. The record is from RefSeq and is a predicted model, not a curated record. The transcript has 8 exons. Lineage: Eukaryota; Metazoa; Chordata; Mammalia; Carnivora; Felidae.